AAUGUCAGCCUUAAGGAAACCCGAUUCAUUUGUUCAUUGGUUUUUCUUAUGGGUGUGCGAAUAGUGUCAAACUUGAAAACUAAUUAUCGAAUAUCAGUUUCCGAAAAUAUCAAAAUUUUUGGAAACCUUUUCUACCAUUCAAUUUUUUUUUUUGAAAAAUUAAAUUCUUCGUCAUUGCUUUUUAAAACUUUUACUAUAUUGAAAAAGCAUUUCAUACAAGAAAACAUUAAGAUACUCACAUUUCAAAUUUAUUCUAACAUUCUAACAUUUUAUUAUUCAAUUCACAACCAGAAAAUUUCAGAUAUUUGCGCACCCAUAGUUAUUAACUAAUUUAUCUCAAUUCAUAAAUUGAUCUUAUUCUUCCUUAUUGUGGGAAUUUGUUUGUUUCAUUGGAAAAAGUUACACAAUGAACAAAUUUUUUUCCGCGAAUUUUGCUUUAAUUGCUUCAACAUUCUAAUAUUAACGAUUUAAAUUAUUACAAAAAAGUAAAUUACUUAAAUCAAUUUUUUCUUUUCUUUCAGAGAUUUAAAAUCCAGUCGUUUUUACAUUGGACAACAGGAGAUAAGGUGAUCUUCAGCGAAAUACAGAAUCAAAAUCUUGGCUCGUUUUAAUAUAUCAUUUGCCACGAUGGCGAUGUGCAGGGUAGCUGCAGUGAAAUAAAGAAGACUGACAAAUACGCACUGGAGUCAUACAUUAACAUUAAGGAUACACAUUAAGGAUGUUUGGGAGGUAUGUCAAAAUGCUACGAAGCAAAUAAAAAUUUGG
Molecule: long non-coding RNA, 765 nt
Organism: Agrilus planipennis (emerald ash borer)
Lineage: Eukaryota; Metazoa; Arthropoda; Insecta; Coleoptera; Buprestidae
Exons: 3
Source: RefSeq, a predicted model, not a curated record